AUUGAACGCUGGCGGCAUGCUUUACACAUGCAAGUCGAACGGUAACAGGCCGCAAGGUGCUGACGAGUGGCGAACGGGUGAGUAAUGCAUCGGAACGUGCCCAGUCGUGGGGGAUAACUACUCGAAAGAGUAGCUAAUACCGCAUACGAUCUAUGGAUGAAAGCGGGGGACCGUAAGGCCUCGCGCGAUUGGAGCGGCCGAUGUCAGAUUAGGUAGUUGGUGGGGUAAAGGCUCACCAAGCCAACGAUCUGUAGCUGGUCUGAGAGGACGACCAGCCACACUGGGACUGAGACACGGCCCAGACUCCUACGGGAGGCAGCAGUGGGGAAUUUUGGACAAUGGGCGCAAGCCUGAUCCAGCAAUGCCGCGUGCAGGAAGAAGGCCUUCGGGUUGUAAACUGCUGUUGUACGGAACGAAACGGCUCUGGUUAAUACCCGGGGCUAAUGACGGUACCGUAAGAAUAAGCACCGGCUAACUACGUG
This 482-nucleotide ribosomal RNA is filed under the name uncultured bacterium. RNAcentral's name for it is "partial 16S ribosomal RNA". It matches the Rfam family "Bacterial small subunit ribosomal RNA", at positions 30 to 507 of the family's 1533-position model. The record is from RNAcentral.